CAUCCGACCCGAUCACUCCCGCCAUACUGGAGUGGGCCCCACGCCGCCUCAUAGGGCGACCGACGGACCAGCUUCAUCAGACCGUUGGACCAGGCGACCACCUCCACUGCCCUAACAUCGACACCUCUGACCGAAGUAUGCCCAAUAAUGACCAAGACAGAGCGUCGGCCACCACAUCGGGAAUACCCGGACACAAAAAACCUAAGACCAGCCGCCCUAGAUUCAAACAGCGCCAAGCCAGGCGCUGCAACCAGAGUAACACUGGGGUAAAGUGUACUGUUACAUGACAAGACAGCCCGCACCGCCCCACGAUGGUCCCAAAGGAAAACCCCAUCUACCUGUUCUAGAGCGGGG
Non-coding RNA from Pelobates cultripes (western spadefoot toad), 354 nucleotides. NCBI's taxonomy places the organism in Eukaryota, Metazoa, Chordata, Amphibia, Anura, Pelobatidae. The record is from the annotation of a GenBank genome assembly.